AUGCUUGUAGGUCAUGAAAAUAAUGCUUUAUGUGAUGGUUAUAUUGUUGAAUUCAUUUAUGAAGCUACUGAAAAUUAUUGUGAGGGAGGGAUAUAUGCUUGUAAGAGUUAUAAUAAUAUCAAGUUUCCUCUCUAUGUGCUUAAAGUUUCGAAGUUAUACUUGUUUUGCCUUCCUAUGCUAGUUGAUUCUUGUUCCCUUAAGUUGUUUUCUCUCAAAAUCACUAGGCAUAGGAAGUGGGUUAGACUUGAAUGUGCUAGUCAUAUUCUUCAUGAUGCUCUCUUUGUGUUUAAAUUCUUAUCUUUUAUGUCAGCAUCAUUGAAAUCAUUAUGCCUUGCUAAAAGGCAUUAA
Molecule: ribosomal RNA, 348 nt
Filed under: Triticum aestivum (bread wheat)
Lineage: Eukaryota; Viridiplantae; Streptophyta; Magnoliopsida; Poales; Poaceae
Description: partial small subunit ribosomal RNA
Source: RNAcentral